UGCUGCAUAAGAUAACCUUUUUAUUAAUUUAUUUUCUUUUUUUGACUCACCACAUCAGAGUGGAAUGAGAAACUCCACUUAUUACAUAAUUUGUUGUUUCUUCUGAAAUUUUAAAACAUAAACUGGUAAAUGGUGUUACCAAUCAGUCGUUUUUGGCUGCUUCAUUCUGGAUCCUGACGACAUCCAGGUAUGAUUUUCCAACCAAUUCUCGUGAAAAGAAUCCCUUGAAGAAAUCAGCAACACCGAUUUUUCUAAAUGAGGCAGGCCUCUCUGGGGAUACAAGGCUCGGUGCUGGACCCAUUUCUCCACCCAAAUUCGGGCUAUAAAAAGUGGCAAUGGAGAUCCUCUCUUUCACCGAGUUCACUGUUGCUCUAUGCUCAGUGCUUUUGUAAAUUCCAUUGGUAACAAUCUCCAAAAUGUCACCAAUAUUGAUGAUAAAGGCAUCUGGCAGUGGCUUAACAGGAACCCAUCUCCCAUCUUUCUUUAUUUGCAAACCUUCUACCUCGUUGACUUGAAGGAGGAUUGUGAGGCCUGUUGCAUCAGUGUGGGAAUUGAGGCCCAUGACCAGCUCAGGUUGUGGGCAUGGAGGAUAGUAGUUCAUUCUCAUUUUCUGGCACCCUUCCUCAAAUAUUUUUCCCAUUUCUUCAGCUUCCAUUCCUAGAGCUUUUCCCAUGAGAUUGAAGAUUUUCAUGGCAAGAUUUUUCAUUUCUUCUGAGUAAGUUUCCAAGGUGUCCCUGAAUGGGAGAGGGAGCUUGGGGAAUAAGUAAGGCUUUCUCAGAUUAUGUGGCAGGGUGAUCAUGUAGAAGAUGUCUCCCCAGUCAAGCUUCUGCUCCUCUGACACAACGAAAGCCUGUCCAAAUCCUUCCAUAUCUCCUGGUUUUUGCCAAUACUUAUUCUUCUCUUCCAUUGGGAGAUCGAAGAAUUCUUGAAUUUCCACCUUCACUUUUUCCACUAAUGAACUGCUCACUCCAUGAUUUAUCAGCUGGAAGAAACCCCAGUUUUUGCAUGCGAGAUGGAGCUCAUCCAGCUCUGAAUCGAUGAAAUCUUGGGAAAAUAACUUUUGCAUGUCAAUCACAGGAACUUGGGGUAGAGAAGCAGCAUUAGACAUGAUUGGAGAGUCUUCAUCAGGACGCAAAUAACGCGGUGGAACUUUUGUCAGUGGCUUCUUUGCCAGCUCCUGCACACAAGGCACCGGGAGAGAGCUCCCAAGCUUUGUAUGUUCAGCUUCCAUGGCUUCUGUUUUCUAUUUUUCUCAUGUUAUACCCUUUCAGAAUUUCCGCCAGCGAGGAAUAUAUGUGCUUGAG
This 1304-nucleotide unclassified non-coding RNA is filed under the name Hevea brasiliensis (rubber tree). Lineage: Eukaryota; Viridiplantae; Streptophyta; Magnoliopsida; Malpighiales; Euphorbiaceae. The record is from RNAcentral.